UGUCUCAAAAAAAAAAAAAAAAUUUGAUUUCUACUAUGCUUAUGGGAUAGAUGAAAAGUGCCAUGAUCUGAAGGGGGAGGACUUUUCGGUGUCUUCCUCCUAUAUGAAGUGGCUCAACAGAAGAAA
Molecule: small nucleolar RNA, 126 nt
Organism: Chionomys nivalis (European snow vole)
Lineage: Eukaryota; Metazoa; Chordata; Mammalia; Rodentia; Cricetidae
Product: small nucleolar RNA SNORA29
Exons: 1
Source: RefSeq, a predicted model, not a curated record